CAGACAUGUCUGAAUUACACGCUUUUGUUUGAAAUAACCUACCUCUUAAAUGCUUAAAUGCAUUUAAGAACAUGUUUUGGUUCAUCUGAAAAGUCCAAUUUUCUAGUAGCAAUAACUAAGGAAACUGAUACAUCGGUUUACCGUAGUAGAAGUGCAUUAACUAUUGUUUUCCAGCUUAUUUUGGAGGUUGAUGUGUAGCCUAACUUGGUGCAGAUCCCAAUGGAUGUCAUUGUGCCUAUGGGGGUGUGGGUGGGUGGAGGCAUCAGGUGGUUGUCCUGUGUGUUUAGCCAGGAAUGGUUUUAAGUCUUACUCAUUAUUGCACUGAGUCACUCUUCAAUGGUCUGUCACUGAAAACUUGGCCAGUCACCCUCUGGGACAGUGAAAUACUAGCAUGUGACCCAACUUCCAUGCUAUGGUUCUUAUACAUCAAUCUGUACAUGUUAUGUGGAGACAAACAGAAAACUAUUGGUGCUGCUUUUUUGACAAUCUUGUAUAUAAGACAUUGCAAUAUAGACUUUGGUGUUCCUUAUGGAACUGCACCAUUUUCAGUGACUUCAGUAAUUUUCUCAUGCAGGUUCCUGUGUCAUCUUUGCACUACAUACAGCUGUUUUAUCACAUUAAAGCGUUUCUCCAAAAUCAACCACAAAGCAAUCUUGGGAACUGCAGUUUCGUCUGCAUAUAAUUUGAGAUGGAGAGUAAUAUGGAGACCCACCAUUUGUGUGGCUUUGUGGACAUUGUCAACUUAAGAAAAGGACUUCAGAUAAUUUGGCACUCUUUGAUCUGACCAGAGCAGUGCCCUGUAGAAGUUCCUUCAGGUGAGGAAAAGGGUCUUGCCUAAACUGAGUUGCAUGGGAACCAGGAAUGGACAACUCUCAGGAUUUGUAUUGAUACACAGUACUGUAUUUAAAAUGUCUUGUUUUGUGUAAUAUACUGUACUAGACGUUUGCUGUACUUGCACAGUUUUUUUUAAUUACUUUAUUUCUUUUAUAACUUAAAAUAGAAGUGAUUUCUUUUGUAAUAGUCAGUCUUGUUUCUAUUUACUACAUUUAGUUGGAUUCUGUUCUGUAUUCCACUCAACAAGAAUAUACCUGCACAUCAUUUGAUUUUCUUUUGGUUCAGUUUUGCUUACCAUAACUUCUCAAUAAGCAUUAUAGAUCUGUAACUCCAAUGUUACAUGCAUAUCUCAGACUUGAAAUACACCAAGCUUACAAUGAAUAAGCCAAACAAUGUGCUUUCUGUGUAAGUGAUAGUUGGCUUUGCGGCAAUAUAAAUUCAUCAAGAUAAUGGAUGACUAGCAGUGGAAUCUUCCUGUAUUUUUAUUUUUGUUUGCUGGUUUGUCAAUGUAGGGUUUGGGCAAUAGCUGUGGUUGAGCUCAACUGUGAAAUUCACAUUGCACAUAAUUUGAGAAUAAAAUAA
Long non-coding RNA from Esox lucius (northern pike), 1416 nucleotides. The record is from Ensembl. Lineage: Eukaryota; Metazoa; Chordata; Actinopteri; Esociformes; Esocidae.